UACGAAGGGGGCUAGCGUUGUUCGGAAUUACUGGGCGUAAAGCGCGCGCAGGCGGCUAUCCAAGUCAGUGGUGAAAGCCCGGAGCUCAACUCCGGAACUGCCAUUGAAACUGUUUAGCUUGAGGACGAGAGAGGUGAGUGGAAUUCCCAGUGUAGAGGUGAAAUUCGUAGAUAUUGGGAAGAACACCAGUGGCGAAGGCGGCUAACUGGUCCAGAUCUGACGCUGAGGUGCGAAAGCGUGGGGAGCAAACAGG
RNAcentral lists this ribosomal RNA (253 nucleotides) under uncultured bacterium. RNAcentral's name for it is "partial 16S ribosomal RNA". It matches the Rfam family "Bacterial small subunit ribosomal RNA", at positions 524 to 776 of the family's 1533-position model. The record is from RNAcentral.